Episyrphus balteatus (marmalade hoverfly) is the source of this 691-nucleotide long non-coding RNA. RefSeq lists it as uncharacterized. The record is from RefSeq and is a predicted model, not a curated record. NCBI's taxonomy places the organism in Eukaryota, Metazoa, Arthropoda, Insecta, Diptera, Syrphidae. The transcript has 3 exons.
AACAACUAUCAUCCUAUAUACCUACCAGCAUUAUCAUCACAACAACAAGAACAGAAUAAACAAAAUAAAUAAAAAAAAAAUAACUUUCGACGACCAAGAAUUAUACAAGACUGUGUCUGAGAAUUGAGACUCACCAAAAAAACCAAAAACAAAAAGUUUUAUACCUACAACUUUCGUAUUGUGUUGGGAAGACAUUGAAUUUGCAUAUUUUAUUCAUUGGAUGAAUUCUAAUCGACAAAUCCUGUUACAAAAUGAUAAUAAUAAUUGUCACUUGCAAUGCUUAUAGCCUGAGAGAAGUGCCAGCGACACCUAUAAACGAUUACAAUGUGUAUACAAAAUCAAAUUAACCAUACGAUAUUUAAAUUUUCUCAUCCUCUUGGGGUUGGGGUUGGUUUAGUGGGUGGUUUUCUCUUCGAAGUUGGUAUACAGUGGGUUGACAUGAGUUAAAAACUGAAUUGAAAUCAAACCAUUGAAAGACAUUGGAUCAGAGGUGGGGAUACUUAUUUAUCAGGGGCGUCACAUACAUAAUAUUGGGAACUAUAAGAAAACUUAACAGAAUUAAUUCAAGAAUAAUUUAACCCUGUGUCAAUUUAUUAAAUCUUCAUACAAUUUCUAAAUGAUUAAAAAAUUAUAGAAGAAAGAUUAAUGUUCUACAAAUUAACUUGUCAACAAGUCCAGCCAGACAAAAAAA